UUCAUGGAUUAUCUUACA
This 18-nucleotide unclassified non-coding RNA is filed under the name Dictyostelium discoideum. The record is from RNAcentral. Lineage: Eukaryota; Evosea; Eumycetozoa; Dictyosteliales; Dictyosteliaceae.